Molecule: ribosomal RNA, 497 nt
Filed under: uncultured bacterium
Lineage: Bacteria
Description: partial 16S ribosomal RNA
Rfam family: Bacterial small subunit ribosomal RNA
Source: RNAcentral
GAUGAACGCUGGCGGCGUGCCUAAUACAUGCAAGUCGAGCGAACAGACGAGGAGCUUGCUCCUCUGACGUUAGCGGCGGACGGGUGAGUAACACGUGGAUAACCUACCUAUAAGACUGGGAUAACUUCGGGAAACCGGAGCUAAUACCGGAUAAUAUAUUGAACCGCAUGGUUCAAUAGUGAAAGACGGUUUUGCUGUCACUUAUAGAUGGAUCCGCGCCGCAUUAGCUAGUUGGUAAGGUAACGGCUUACCAAGGCAACGAUGCGUAGCCGACCUGAGAGGGUGGACGGCCACACUGGAACUGAGACACGGUCCAGACUCCUACGGGAGGCAGCAGUAGGGAAUCUUCCGCAAUGGGCGAAAGCCUGACGGAGCAACGCCGCGUGAGUGAUGAAGGUCUUCGGAUCGUAAAACUCUGUUAUUAGGGAAGAACAAAUGUGUAUGUAACUAUGCACGUCUUGACGGUACCUAAUCAGAAAGCCACGGCUAACUACGUG